Long non-coding RNA from Mastomys coucha (southern multimammate mouse), 430 nucleotides. RefSeq lists it as uncharacterized. The transcript is spliced from 2 exons. The record is from RefSeq and is a predicted model, not a curated record. Lineage: Eukaryota; Metazoa; Chordata; Mammalia; Rodentia; Muridae.
CUCACCGUCUGCUGACUCAGCUGCUCUGACAGCACUCUGCUAUCCUCGGCCUGGCCUGGCUUCAUCAUCUCCUGCUGGGCAGUGGUUUCCUCAAUCCACUUGAUGAGAGUUCCAUGGCAGGCUCGGUAAUCUCUCAGAACUUCCUGGAUACUUUCUACCUCAGAUUGCCUGGAGGAACAAAUGGAAGGAAGCAUGGUCAAACAUCCUAAAGUUAAUGCAGAUAGAGCGCAGCUGCUCAGGCCUCCAGCCUAAGAAAGACCAACUUCCUGUCUCUACUAGUUAUACCUUCAUAAGCAAAGCAUCAAAUGACAGAAGUAAACUGAACCUAGUAAAAUCAGCAACUAUAACAGAAGCCAUAAAGUCUAUAAAGCCUCAUUCUGAAAAUGGAUCAAAUUAGAUUCAAGCCUAAUAAAACAAGAACGAAAACCUA